CGGGACGGGUGAGUAAUGUCUGGGAAACGUGCCUGAUGGAGGGGGAUAACUACUGGAAACGGUAGCUAAUACCGCAUAACGUCGCAAGACCAAAGAGGGGGACCUUAGGGCCUCUUGCCAUCGGAUGUGCCCAGAUGGGAUUAGCUAGUAGGUGGGGUAAAGGCUCACCUAGGCGACGAUCCCUAGCUGGUCUGAGAGGAUGACCAGCCACACUGGAACUGAGACACGGUCCAG
This 234-nucleotide ribosomal RNA is filed under the name uncultured bacterium. RNAcentral describes it as "partial 16S ribosomal RNA". It matches the Rfam family "Bacterial small subunit ribosomal RNA", at positions 100 to 334 of the family's 1533-position model. The record is from RNAcentral.